This 687-nucleotide ribosomal RNA is filed under the name Triticum aestivum (bread wheat). Its description in RNAcentral is "partial small subunit ribosomal RNA". Lineage: Eukaryota; Viridiplantae; Streptophyta; Magnoliopsida; Poales; Poaceae. The record is from RNAcentral.
CUUUGGGCUGCUAAAGCAGCAAAGAUGGGCUACCAAUGGAAAGUGGGGAAUGGGAGGAACAUUAAAUUCUGGGAAGAUCAAUGGUUUGGGUCCUGCAGCUUGGCCACUCAAUUUUGGGAUUUAUAUAUCAUUGCCAAUGAGCAUAAUAAAACUAUUGCUGAUGCCUGGGAUGGGAAUAGUCUAAAAAUUACUUUUAGAAGAUGUGUGGAUAGUAGACUACUACAUCUUUGGUUUGAUUUGUUGAUCAUUGCUCAAUCUGUUAUCUUGAAUGAUGAGGAAGAUGCUAUUAUUUGGAAAUUAGAGAGCAAGGGGAGUUACUCAGUUAAAUCCCUUUAUGCCAUGGUCAACUUUAAGGGGAUUAUCCCUGUACAUGUACCAAAUUUAUGGCAAGUGCAUGUUCCUCCUAAUGUUCAUAUAUUUCUUUGGCUGCUUGCUCAUGAUAAGUUACUGGUUAGGAGUAACCUCAGCAAGAGACAACACAUAGAUGAUCAUAACUGCUUGUUCUGCUGUGAGGAGGAGACUAGUAAUCACCUCUUCUUUGAAUGUGUUGUGGCUGCUAAGAUAUGGAAAAAUAUUCAUAAUGUGGCUGGAUGCAUGCCCCAGCCUGGGCUUAAAAACGCGGCUGAUAAGUGGGAUAAACACAAGUCACUACAAGCUGAAAAUAUGCUCGUCUCAGCUACUCUCUAG